GACGUAGGGCGCAAGCGUUGUCCGGAUUUAUUGGGCGUAAAGAGCUCGUAGGCGGCCUGUCGCGUCGACCGUGAAAACCUGCAGCUCAACUGCAGGCUUGCGGUCGAGUACGGGCGAGGCUAGAGUUCGGUAGGGGAGCUGGAAGUUCCUGGUGUAGCGGUGAAAUGCGCCAGGAUAUCGGGAAGAACGACCCGUGGCGAAGGCGGUUCUCUGGGACGGUACUGGACGCUGAGACGCGAAAGCGUGGGGAGCGAACAGG
Molecule: ribosomal RNA, 259 nt
Filed under: uncultured bacterium
Lineage: Bacteria
Description: partial 16S ribosomal RNA
Rfam family: Bacterial small subunit ribosomal RNA
Source: RNAcentral